AUGAAUCAUUUGUGACUGAGCGGCGGACGGGUGAGUAACGCGUGAGUAACCUGCCUCAUACAGGGGAAUAACAGUUAGAAAUGACUGCUAAUGCCGCAUAAGCGCACAGGGCCGCAUGGCCCGGUGUGAAAAACUCCGGUGGUAUGAGAUGGACUCGCGUCUGAUUAGCUAGUUGGCAGGGUAACGGCCUACCAAGGCAACGAUCAGUAGCCGGCCUGAGAGGGUGAACGGCCACAUUGGGACUGAGACACGGCCCAAACUCC
RNAcentral lists this ribosomal RNA (263 nucleotides) under uncultured Eubacteriales bacterium. Its description in RNAcentral is "uncultured Clostridiales bacterium partial 16S ribosomal RNA". It matches the Rfam family "Bacterial small subunit ribosomal RNA", at positions 73 to 339 of the family's 1533-position model. Lineage: Bacteria; Bacillati; Bacillota; Clostridia; Eubacteriales. The record is from RNAcentral.